RNAcentral lists this ribosomal RNA (2832 nucleotides) under human metagenome. Its description in RNAcentral is "bacterial LSU rRNA". It matches the Rfam family "Bacterial large subunit ribosomal RNA". The record is from RNAcentral.
AGAAAUCGUUAAGGGCGUAUGGCGGAUGCCUAGGCUUUCAGAGGCGAAGAAGGACGUGGUAAGCUGCGAAAAGCUACGGGGAUUGGCACACACGAAAUGAUCCGUAGAUAUCCGAAUGGGGCAACCCAGUAAGUUGAAGACUUACUACACCGUAAGGUGAGCGAACCCGGAGAACUGAAACAUCUAAGUACCCGGAGGAAAAGAAAUCGAAGAGAUUCCGUAAGUAGUGGCGAGCGAAAGCGGAUUAGCCCAAAAGUUUAUAUAUGUUUAGUGGAAUGUUUUGGAAAGAGCAAUCAUAGAAGGUGAAAAUCCUGUACACGAAAGGUAUAUAUAGAUGAAGAAAGAGUAGGGCGGGACACGUGAAAUCCUGUCUGAAUAUGGGGGGACCAUCCUCCAAGGCUAAAUACUCCUGAAAGACCGAUAGUGAACAAGUACUGUGAAGGAAAGGUGAAAAGCACUUCGAAUAGAAGGGUGAAAAAGAACCUGAAACCGUACGCCUACAAGCGGUCGGAGCAGUUAUAUACUGUGACGGCGUGCCUUUUGCAUAAUGAGCCUACGAGUUAAUUUUACUAGCGAGGUUAAGGUAUUAAGUACUGGAGCCGGAGCGAAAGCGAGUCUGAAUAGGGCGAAUAGUUAGUGGGAUUAGACGCGAAACCUUGUGAUCUACCCAUGGGCAGGUUGAAGCACUGGUAACACAGUGUGGAGGACCGAACCGGUUGACGUUGAAAAGUCUUCGGAUGACCUGUGGGUAGGGGUGAAAGGCCAAUCAAACUGGGAGAUAGCUCGUACUCCCCGAAAUGCAUUUAGGUGCAGCGUUGAUUUAGUUUAUUAGAGGUAGAGCUACUGAUUGGAUGCGGGGGUUUCACCGCCUACCAAUUCCUGACAAACUCCGAAUGCUAAUAAAUAUUGAUCAGCAGUGAGGGCAUGGGUGCUAAGGUCCAUGUCCGAGAGGGAAAGAACCCAGACCAACAGCUAAGGUCCCUAAAUAUAUGCUAAGUUGAAACAACGCGGUUGAACUGCAUUGACAGCUAGGAUGUUGGCUUGGAAGCAGCCAUUCAUUUAAAGAGUGCGUAACAGCUCACUAGUCGAGUGCUUUGGCGUGGAUAAUAAUCGGGCAUAAGCUAUUUACCGAAGCUGUGGGAUGUGUAAACAUCGGUAGGGGAGCAUUCUAGCGGCGCAGAAGGUGAGAGGACAACUCUUGCUGGAGUUUCUAGAAAAGCAAAUGUAGGUAUAAGUAACGAUAAAGGAGGUGAGAAACCUCCUCGCCGAAAGACUAAGGGUUCCUGAUCAACGCUAAUCGGAUCAGGGUUAGUCGGGGCCUAAGGGGAAGCCGAACGGCGUACCCGAUGGAAGAACCGGUUAAUAUUCCGGUACUAAUUAUGUGAGCGAUGUGGAGACGGAGAUGUGACGGUCCUGCCAACUGACGGAAUAGUUGGUUGAAGGGUGUAGGAGUUGAUCUGAGUAGGCAAAUCCGCUCGGAGAUCCGAACCUGACAGUACUCUGAGUGCUUGCACAAGGAGAUAUGGACAACUGUAACGGUGCUCCCAAGAAAAUCCGCUAAGCAUAUUGCAUGAUUACCCGUACCAUAAACCGACACAGGUGGUUGGGUUGAGUAUACUAAGGCGCUCGAGUGAUUCGCGGUUAAGGAACUAGGCAAAAUAGUCCUGUAACUUCGGAAUAAAGGACGCUCACAGUGAAGGCUGUGAGCCGCAGAGAAUAGGCCCAGGCGACUGUUUAACAAAAACACAUGGCUAUGCUAAAUCGAAAGAUACUGUAUAUAGCCUGACACCUGCCCGGUGCUGGAAGGUUAAGAGGAGAUGUCAUCGCAAGAGAAGCAUUGAAUUGAAGCCCCAGUAAACGGCGGCCGUAACUAUAACGGUCCUAAGGUAGCGAAAUUCCUUGUCGGGUAAGUUCCGACCUGCACGAAUGGUGUAACGAUCUGGGUACUGUCUCAACCGCGAGCUCGGUGAAAUUGUAGUAUCGGUGAAGAUGCCGAUUACCCGCAACGGGACGAAAAGACCCCGUGAACCUUUACUAUAGCUUUGCAUUGGAUUUGGGUAACAAAUGUGUAGGAUAGGCCGGAGACUAAGAAUCGGGUACGCCAGUAUUCGUGGAGUCGCCGUUGAAAUACGGCCCUUUUGUUAUUUGGGUUCUAACUCGCGGAUGCGAGGACAUUGCAUGGUGGGUAGUUUGACUGGGGUGGUCGCCUCCAAAAGUGUAACGGAGGCUUCUAAAGGUUCCCUCAGCACGCUUGGUAACCGUGCGUAGAGUGCAAUGGCAUAAGGGAGCUUGACUGAGAGACUUACAAGUCGAUCAGGUACGAAAGUAGAGCAUAGUGAUCCGGUGGUUCCGUAUGGAAGGGCCAUCGCUCAAAGGAUAAAAGGUACUCCGGGGAUAACAGGCUGAUCCCUCCCAAGAGCUCAUAUCGACGGAGUGGUUUGGCACCUCGAUGUCGGCUCGUCACAUCCUGGGGCUGGAGAAGGUCCCAAGGGUUGGGCUGUUCGCCCAUUAAAGUGGCACGCGAGCUGGGUUCAGAACGUCGUGAGACAGUUCGGUCUCUAUCUAUUGCGGGCGUUAGAUAUUUGCGUGGGGUUGACUCUAGUACGAGAGGACCGAGUUGAACAAACCUCUGGUGUAUCAGUUGUACCGCCAGGUGCACCGCUGAGUAGCUAAGUUUGGAAGAGAUAAGCACUGAAAGCAUAUAAGUGCGAAACUCGCCACAAGAUGAGAUAUCUUUUAAGGGUCGUGGGAGAUGACCACGUUGAUAGGUUACAGGUGUAAAGGUGGUAACAUCAUAGCCGAGUAAUACUAAUUACCCGUAGAUUUAUGGCC